CAAAAUAAUCUAGUUAUAUAAGUUCGGUAAAAAGAUAGUUAGAUAAAUUUGUAGGCAGUUUGUAGAUUUUUUAAUUUAUAGGUAAAAUUUAAAUAUGAAAGAAUAUUUUAAUGCGAGCUGAUGAUAUUGAAGCUGUGACGAUUUAGAUAUAAACUAGGAUUAGAUGCCCUAUUAUACUAAAUGGUAAAUAGAUAUGUAAUUAUACCAGAGUACUACGGGUUGUAGGCUUAAAACUCAAAGGGCUUGGCGGUACUUUAUACUUUUCAGGGGAACCUGUCUCGUAAUCGAUAAUCCGCGUUAUACCUUACCUUUAUUUGAAGUUUGAUGAACAGUUUGUAUACCGUCGUCGUCAGGUAACUUUUAAGAUGGAAGAAGUUAGCGAGAGAGAUAUUUGUCUUAGACGUCAGAUCAAGGUGCAGCUGAUAUAAGGGAGAGGAUGGGUUACAAUUAUAGAUAUAUAAUUACGAAUUAAGAAGUUAAAUGUUCUUUUUGAAGGAGGACUUGAAAGUAAAGAUUUGUAUAUAAAUUUUUUGAAUUUGGCUCUGAAGUGUGCACACAU
RNAcentral lists this ribosomal RNA (559 nucleotides) under Natica fasciata. RNAcentral describes it as "partial 12S ribosomal RNA". The stretch from base 208 to 559 matches the Rfam family "Bacterial small subunit ribosomal RNA", at positions 875 to 1390 of the family's 1533-position model. The record is from RNAcentral. Lineage: Eukaryota; Metazoa; Mollusca; Gastropoda; Littorinimorpha; Naticidae.